UGAAACUGCGAAUGGCUCAUUAAAUCAGUUAUCGUUUAUUUGAUAGUUCCUUUACUACAUGGUAUAACUGUGGUAAUUCUAGAGCUAAUACAUGCUUAAAAUCUCGACCUUUUGGAAGAGAUGUAUUUAUUAGAUAAAAAAUCAACGUCUUCGGACUCCUUGAUGAUUCAUAAUAACUUUUCGAAUCGCAUGGCCUUGUGCUGGCGAUGGUUCAUUCAAAUUUCUGCCCUAUCAACUUUCGAUGGUAGGAUAGUGGCCUACCAUGGUUUCAACGGGUAACGGGGAAUAAGGGUUCGAUUCCGGAGAGGGAGCCUGAGAAACGGCUACCACAUCCAAGGAAGGCAGCAGGCGCGCAAAUUACCCAAUCCUGAUACAGGGAGGUAGUGACAAUAAAUAACGAUACAGGGCCCUUACGGGUCUUGUAAUUGGAAUGAGUACAAUGUAAAUACCUUAACGAGGAACAAUUGGAGGGCAAGUCUGGUGCCAGCAGCCGCGGUAAUUCCAGCUCCAAUAGCGUAUAUUAAAGUUGUUGCAGUUAAAAAGCUCGUAGUUGAACUUUGGGCCUGGUCGGCCGGUCCGGAUCUUUCCGUGUACUGGUUUUAAUUCGACCGGGCCUUUCCUUCUGGCUAGCCCUGGGUCCUUGUGGCCCUUGGUGAACCAGGACUUUUACUUUGAAAAAAUUAGAGUGUUCAAAGCAGGCGUUUCGCUCGAAUAUAUUAGCAUGGAAUAAUAAAAUAGGACGUUUGGUUCUAUUUUGUUGGUUUCUAGGACCAUCGUAAUGAUUAAUAGGGACGGUCGGGGGCAUCAGUAUUCAGUUGUCAGAGGUGAAAUUCUUGGAUUUACUGAAGACUAACUACUGCGAAAGCAUUUGCCAAGGACGUUUUCAUUAAUCAAGAACGAAAGUUAGGGGAUCGAAGAUGAUCAGAUACCGUCGUAGUCUUAACCAUAAACUAUGCCGACUAGGGAUCGGGUGGUGUUUUUUUACUGACCCACUCGGCACCUUACGAGAAAUCAAAGUCCUUUGGGU
RNAcentral lists this ribosomal RNA (1027 nucleotides) under Zygosaccharomyces sp. Its description in RNAcentral is "SSU rRNA". It matches the Rfam family "Eukaryotic small subunit ribosomal RNA", at positions 82 to 1112 of the family's 1831-position model. Lineage: Eukaryota; Fungi; Ascomycota; Saccharomycetes; Saccharomycetales; Saccharomycetaceae. The record is from RNAcentral.